RNA transcript from Tachysurus fulvidraco (yellow catfish), 1424 nucleotides. It is a transcript of the gene named nuclear valosin-containing protein-like, with no coding region annotated. The record is from RefSeq and is a predicted model, not a curated record. The transcript has 13 exons. Lineage: Eukaryota; Metazoa; Chordata; Actinopteri; Siluriformes; Bagridae.
UUGUACGAUUAUAGAAUACUUACAUUAUGUGCACAGAAUUUUGCUGAUUUAUCAGAUGUGAAUUACUUGUUUGCGUUGAAGCUUGGACCAAACCUCCCGAACUUCAGCAUUCCACAGUGAAGUUUGAAGACGUUGGAGGUAGUGAAGAAACUCUGAUGCUUGGACCAAACCUCCCGGACUUCAGCAUUCCACAGUGAAGUUUGAAGACGUUGCUUGAAGUCAAUGGCAGCCCAUAGAACCCCGGGGGAGCUAGAUCAACUGCUGUCUCUGCUGAGAAACAGCGAAUCUCCAAGUGAGGAACAGCUUGCUGAUCUCUGCAUCGUCAUGGAUGACUUCAAGGAGUCUUUGGCACGGGUCCAACCAUUUGCCAAACGUGAAGGUUUCGCCACUGUGCCUGAUGUCACCUGGGAUGAUGUCGGUGCACUGCAAGACAUUCGGGAGGAACUCACCAAGGCCAUUUUGACCCCUUUACGUUUUCCAGAGCAGUUCAAAGCUAUGGGAUUGAGUGGCCCUUCCAGAGUGUUGCUUGCUGGACCUCCAGGCUGUGGAAAGACUCUUCUUGCCAAAGCUGUUGCCAACGCGGCUGGUUUAAACUUUAUAUAUGUCAAUGGCCCCGAGCUACUGAACAUGUAUGUUGGUAAAAGUGAACGGGCAGUUCGCCAGGUGUUCCAGAGAGGACAAAAGGCUGCCCCCUGUCUCAUCUUUUUCGACGAGUUUCAUGCCCUUUGCCCCAGACGUUCUGUCCAUCAGUCUGGAGCCAGUGUGCGUGUGUUGUACCAGUUGCUGACCGAGAUGGAUGGGUUGGAGAUGCGUCGCCAGGUUUUCAUCAUGGCCGCCACCACCCGGCCAGAUAUCAUUGAUCCAGCAUUUCUUCGACCGGGCCGUUUAGACAAAAAAUUGUAUGUGGGUUUGCCUUCACCAGAAGACAGACACGCCAUAUUGCUCACUAUUACCAAGGGAGGAACUAAACCUCGCCUGGACUUGGAUGUGAACUUGGAGGAAAUUGCCCGUGAUGAACGUUGUGACUGUUUCACUGGGGCAGACUUGUCAGCACUGGUGAGAGAGGCUUCGUUUAACGCGUUAAAUGCCCAUCUCUACUCUCAGACAGCUAUACCACAUGCAGGUCCAUGUGACUUACGAGUCAGCAAGCAGAAUUUUGAAGAGGCGUUCAAGAAGGUGCGGCCGUCCGUGUCCAAAGAGACAAAUUUCCCACCCUUCCCUCGCCAGAUGAGUGUCGUAUAGUGAGAUUUUUUUUUUGCUUUGCUGGAGCAACAUCAGCUCUGGCUCCUUGUUUGUGGUUGCAGAAAUAAACAGGACCAGCUCAUGUACGAGAAACUGCGUAAAUCUCUCACUGGGCAGUAGCCGAGCGGACGGAGAGUGUUGCUUUUCCUGUGUUAAAAUAAACAUUUUUUUCGAGUUCACAA